RNAcentral lists this ribosomal RNA (289 nucleotides) under uncultured bacterium. RNAcentral's name for it is "partial 16S ribosomal RNA". It matches the Rfam family "Bacterial small subunit ribosomal RNA", at positions 773 to 1060 of the family's 1533-position model. The record is from RNAcentral.
GUGGAUUAGAUACCCUGGUAGUCCACGCCCUAAACGAUGCGAACUGGACGUUGGGUGCAAUUGAGCAUUCAGUGUCGAAGCUAACGCGUUAAGUUCGCCGCCUGGGGAGUACGGUCGCAAGACUGAAACUCAAAGGAAUUGACGGGGGCCCGCACAAGCGGUGGAGUAUGUGGUUUAAUUCGAUGCAACGCGAAGAACCUUACCUGGCCUUGACAUGUCGCGAAGUCUGCAGAGAUGCGGAUGUGCCUUCGGGAACGCGAACACAGGUGCUGCAUGGUUGUCGACAACU